Oncorhynchus tshawytscha (Chinook salmon) is the source of this 888-nucleotide long non-coding RNA. NCBI's taxonomy places the organism in Eukaryota, Metazoa, Chordata, Actinopteri, Salmoniformes, Salmonidae. The record is from Ensembl.
CUCCGAAGCAGCUGUUUUAGGGUUUGAAAUUCCAACAUGGCAGUGGCUGUGGUCAGUGUUGCCUGCGCUAACUUGGAAUGGUUUUAAAUCGCAGGCAGCCUCGCUUAACCCACCGCACACUCAUUCAUCAGCAAGCUCUACCGUGGAUCGAUGUUGCUCUAACCCCAGAGGUCGACCUGUCGCACAUACAGCGAGACAUGAUCAGUAGCAGCAGCGUCUAUGCGAGCGAGGAAUGACCCCAAGGGAGCCUGGCUCAUGCAAAUCCCCCUCUCUCUCUCUCUCUCGCUCUCUCUCUCUCUCCAAAAACUAGUCCCUAGACUUGUGGCAGCUGGCUAUGUUGUCUUUGUGCGUGUCUCUCUGUGUGUGCUGACAACCCUCUCAGUGAUCUAAGUUAGAGAGGCACACAGCGCUGGAAACGGGAGGCAGCUGUCUGUUGCUAUACUGUCUGCGAGACGAAGAAGCAUUCGUUCUACUGCUGCAAAGAUGAACGGCCGCCAAUCCGUAAAUCCUUGACAUCCAGCCUGCCCCUCCUCGCUCUCCUCCUGCACCCCCUCCUCAUCUUCCUCCUCCUUCAUUUCUUUGGAUCCGUCUGUCAGCUCUGGCUGUCUGUUUAGAUGUUUUUGUGUGUUUGGUGUUCCCCUGACUGACAGUGUAUGGGCAAAGGCAUUCUUUUGGAAAGUAUGAUAGUCCCAGAGACAAACGCCUAAAUCCUUCCUCUAGCCAUUUGAACGGUGAUCUGUUUAUUCUUCCCCUCUGUCAUCAUACUGUUAUCAUUCUGAGUGCUGACAGCCCUGUGUCUUGUGGGGGUUUAGGAGUGAAAGAGGCCUCCUGAUGUACAGUAUCUGGUUUAGUACAGUAAUACUUGUUACUGUAUCUGUAUAGGCUGGG